Molecule: ribosomal RNA, 455 nt
Filed under: uncultured bacterium
Lineage: Bacteria
Description: bacterial SSU rRNA
Rfam family: Bacterial small subunit ribosomal RNA
Source: RNAcentral
UACGGAAGGCAGCAGUGGGGAAUAUUGCACAAUGGGCGCAAGCCUGAUGCAGCCAUGCCGCGUGUAUGAAAAAGGCCUUCGGGUUGUAAAGUACUUUCAGUCGUGAGGAAGGUGUUAAGGUUAAUAACCUUAGCAAUUGACGUUAGCGACAGAAGAAGCACCGGCUAACUCCGUGCCAGCAGCCGCGGUAAUACGGAGGGUGCGAGCGUUAAUCGGAAUUACUGGGCGUAAAGGGCACGCAGGCGGUUAAUUAAGUUGGAUGUGAAAUCCCCGGGCUUAACCUGGGAAUGGCAUUCAAGACUGGUUAGCUAGAGUCUUGUAGAGGGGGUAGAAUUCCGAUGUGUAGCGGUGAAAUGCGUAGAGAUGUGGAGGAAUACCGGUGGCGAAGGCGGCCCCUGGGACAAAGACUGACGCUCAUGUGCGAAAGCGUGGGGAGCAAACAGGGAUUAGAUACC